GUCCUCGUAGCUCAGUGGAUUAGAGCGCCACCGUCCUAAGGUGGGCGUCGCAGGUUCGAUUCCUGCCGAGGACA
Molecule: transfer RNA, 74 nt
Filed under: bacterium
Lineage: Bacteria
Description: tRNA-Arg
Rfam family: tRNA
About the family: Transfer RNA (tRNA) molecules are approximately 80 nucleotides in length. Their secondary structure includes four short double-helical elements and three loops (D, anti-codon, and T loops).
Source: RNAcentral